This 574-nucleotide long non-coding RNA is filed under the name Chinchilla lanigera (long-tailed chinchilla). RNAcentral's name for it is "lncRNA (ENSCLAG00000023572.1)". The record is from RNAcentral. Lineage: Eukaryota; Metazoa; Chordata; Mammalia; Rodentia; Chinchillidae.
AGAACCCACACUCUCCUCCUCUCUUGCAGCUAGGUGAGGUCGGCUGGCUUCGCUCUGACCAUGCUGCAUGGGGUCUUCAUAGAGUUCUACUCCAGGACGGCCAGCAGACGUGCGCUUUAACUAGGAGACAAGACCCUACACCACAUGCCCAGGAUCAGGGUCUGGUGGGGCACGGUGGAUGGCGCUGGAGGCCGGAAGCCUCACAGGCUGAGCACCCCUUGUCUGACAAUUCCAAGUCUGAGAAGGCUCCAAAACCUAAUUUGUUGAGCACUGACAUUACACAAGGGAAAAAUUCCAUGCCUGGGCCUAUGAGACAGGCUGCAGUCAAUAUGCAGGAGCAAUAAAAUACGGUACAAAAUUAUCUUCAGGCGAUGAGCGUAUGACACAUAAACGAGUUCUGUGUUUAGACUUGGGUCCUGUCCCCAAGAUACUGUGCAGAAGCCAAUAUUUCAAAGCUGGAGCCACUUCUGCUCUCAGCAUUUACAUAAGGGCUCCUCCACCUGGCCCCAAGCUGGGCCUGGGGAUGGAUGGGUAAAACACAGACAGGUGAGGUGGCCGGGGCAGCACGAGAUUU